Molecule: long non-coding RNA, 1906 nt
Organism: Cotesia glomerata
Lineage: Eukaryota; Metazoa; Arthropoda; Insecta; Hymenoptera; Braconidae
Exons: 7
Source: RefSeq, a predicted model, not a curated record
CGCCGACCUUCUUUCUCUACCUUGAAAGGAUUAGUAUUAAAGGAAUCUGAUCAAAUAAAAAGUUUCUUAGAGAAUUAUUACUCUGUACUAUUAUUAUCAUUAUUAUUAUUAUUAUUAUUAUCAGAGAACGCAUAUAUACAUAAAAAUUGAGAGUACAGACAAUGUAUAGGAAACAGACCCGAACGGUUAAACCAUCCAUGAGUUUCUUCAAUCUAAAAACCGUUUAAAGACUUUUAUAUUAGAAUUUAAAUGAUAAAAUACAGAAAGUAUAACUAAUUACAGCAUUUGAUAUCCGCUGAAAUGAUAAAGAUAUUCCUGGUUAGUGAGGAAGCUGUAAGGAUGAUGAAAAAUCCAAAUAGAUAAUAUUACAAAAUGGAUAGCAGGAGCACAUUGAUGAUGAAGAUGGAAAAAAUAAAAUUGGUGGUUAGAGGACCAAAAAGUAAAUGAUUCGACGCCAAUGGUUUGCACCUUACGCAACUUAACUCAAAGCUGUGGACGAUUCCAAAACUGGAUAUACAAGUCCUGUGAUAGCCUAGAAAGUAUACACAAGUCAGAUUGUAUCAGUGGUCGUCACAUCUCUACUUCCAUCAUCAGACAAGAUAUAUCCAUUAGAAGACGAUUUAUUUUUAAUUUUAUUAAAAAAUUUUACUGUAAAUUCAUUAAAAAAUAUAAGUAAUUAUAUUUACUCAGUACUGAAAAAUAAAAAUGAAUUGUACGCAUAGACGUGUAGCUCAGAAAAAAUAACCCGCAUCAAACACCUGUCAUAGUUACUGAUGCAUGCAACAAAAAAUAUGGGUUGAUUGUCCAUAAAAAAAAAAUAAAUUAAUUAAUAAAAAAUGAUGAUGAUAAUAAUAAUUAUUAAGCCGAGGAUUCUAUUUUUCUAUAUACUUUGAUUGCAGCACCGUGACUUACGGUACAACGUCCGCGCUCUGACGAUGACUACAUCCCUAUAUAAUACUGGAGCAAUAAACUUGGAACUGGUCAGAAAAUAUCAUUACUCCAAUAAUCCCUUGGUGCACUUGUCUCGUCGGCUGUGUCAUGUUUAAAAAGCAUCAAUUGCUUACGACCAAUGGGAACAAAAAGAUGAAAGAGCAACAGGUGACCGUCCAAUAGCUGGUUGAAUCCAAAACCAACACCAGUGUUACUCACCAGUAUAUACAUCGGAUUUUCACCUUUAUAUGUGUAGUAUUAUAUACGUGGAUGGAUAAUACAUUACUACAUCGACGGAUUUUACCAUCAUGUAAACUGAAUUUCAUUACAGUAUACUAACAAACAUCUAGAUACUCCACACGCAACAAUUUUACCAGAUAUAUGUGUGUAUAUUGCGUUAUAUUGUGUAUAUAUAUUUAUAUAUAUAUUCGUUUAUUCAAGUUCAAGUUGAUUGUCUUACUCAUCUUUCACCGUCAUACAUGUAUAUAGAUAAAUAGUGGAAAUGAAAAAAUAAACAAGACGUAUAAAGUGAUCGUUCAAAGUCUAGACGUUCAGACGUAGUAUUGAGAAGGGAUGUAGAAAAGUGGAGGGAUGAUGAAGAACCAAAUAGUAGAAAGGGGAAGGGGAAAAGAGUGUCGACUUGUUGUACCUAUAGCAACCUAUAGAGUAGAGAGAACUGGACAACUAUACACGAUACACGAGUGGAGGGUCUGAACACCUGGCUUACCUGGAGUAUAGACACUAAUACACUCUAUAAAUACCUAUAGAUUAUUCACACAUAGACACAUAGACACGUAGACACGUAAAAACUCACCUUUCCCUUUGAUUCUCCUACCUGGGCCUGCAUUUUACAGUUGUAUUGCUCAUUGUCCACUAAAGAAACUACCAAACCCCUAAAAUUUUUAAACUCAAUAAUAUUUUUGUAUUUCAUUAUUUUAUUACGCUUGGAAAAAUCUAAAAAGUACAAGUGGAUUUU